CCUGGAGCUGCUGUAGAUCGUUUAUCUGCUGCUGCGAGUCUUUAUCUAAGUGCAUGUAGGAACAGAGUUAAGCGGUUCUCCGGGUCUCUGUGGUUCUGCCGGACUCUCUGUAUUCAGGACGCUUCGCCAGGGACGUUCUCUGAUUCCUGAUUCCGGAACGGCGGAGGCUGAAGGUGAGGCUCUGAGAUCGGAGCGCCGUCGGAAAGAGGAAACAUACGAACAGGUAAACCAUCACCUCCGCUUUCUUCCCCCCGCCGCUGCCCCCCCCUGCACUGUGCCCGGCACCGCUGCCCAUCCAGAACCGCUGCCCACCCGGCACUGCGCCCGCCCCGGCACUACCAGGAGCAAGCUGGCGGGCCGGUCUGCGGGGCGUCUCGGAGGCGGCAGGACCGUCCUGGCUCCGGAAGUUUUGGUGAGGGUGAUGAAUGGCGGCAGCGCGAGUGGCGGCCGGCAGCACCUGCAGGCUGCUCCCCGUUUAAGCUGCUUACCGGCUGCCGAUUGGCCGCGGUUCCCCUCGCCGUGUAAUUACUCACCGCCUUCUUUAAAACCAGCGGAAAAACAGCAAAGAGCUUCCCUCCAAAAAACAGCAUUAUCAUAUAAAUUGUCUGUGUGUUUCUGGAGGAAACAGCAGGAUCUUCAGCAAGAGAGAGAGUGAGACAGAGAGAGAGAGAAAGAGAGAGAGAGAGAGACAGAGAGAAAGAGAGAGAGAGUGAGACAGAGAGAGAGAGAGAUCUGAUCCCCCGCGGGAAAGAGAGGGAACAUGUUCUACUCUGUGCUUAAAGGAAUAGUUUCGGCAACAUUUAAUCCAUUUACAGCACUCUCAGCCAAUCAGAGUCAAGUUCCC
This 844-nucleotide long non-coding RNA is filed under the name Astyanax mexicanus (Mexican tetra). RNAcentral's name for it is "lncRNA (ENSAMXG00005002673.1)". The record is from RNAcentral. Lineage: Eukaryota; Metazoa; Chordata; Actinopteri; Characiformes; Acestrorhamphidae.